This 355-nucleotide ribosomal RNA is filed under the name uncultured bacterium. RNAcentral describes it as "partial 16S ribosomal RNA". It matches the Rfam family "Bacterial small subunit ribosomal RNA", at positions 338 to 710 of the family's 1533-position model. The record is from RNAcentral.
CCUACGGGUGGCAGCAGUAGGGGAUAUUGCUCAAUGGGGGAAACCCUGAUGCAGCGACGCCGCGUGGGGGAUGAAGGUUUUCGGAUUGUAAACUCCUUUUGUUAGGGAAGAUAAUGACGGUAUCUAACGAAUAAGCACCGGCUAACUCCGUGCCAGCAGCCGCGGUAAUACGUAGGGUGCAAGCGUUACUCGGAAUCACUGGGCGUAAAGAGAGCGUAGGCGGGAUAGCAAGUCAGAUGUGAAAUCCUAGGGCCUAACCCUAGAACUGCAUUUGAAACUGUUAUUCUAGAGUAUGGGAGAGGUAGGUGGAAUUCUUGGUGUAGGGGUAAAAUGCGUAGAGAUCAAGAGGAAUACU